GCCGUCGUAGCACAAUGGUAGUGCGUUGCCUUCCUAGGUCUUAGAACCAGGCAAAGGUUGCGGGUUCGAUCCCCGUCGUCGGUA
Molecule: transfer RNA, 84 nt
Organism: Rhizopogon vinicolor AM-OR11-026
Lineage: Eukaryota; Fungi; Basidiomycota; Agaricomycetes; Boletales; Rhizopogonaceae
Rfam family: tRNA
About the family: Transfer RNA (tRNA) molecules are approximately 80 nucleotides in length. Their secondary structure includes four short double-helical elements and three loops (D, anti-codon, and T loops). Further hydrogen bonds mediate the characteristic L-shaped molecular structure. tRNAs have two regions of fundamental functional importance: the anti-codon, which is responsible for specific mRNA codon recognition, and the 3' end, to which the tRNAs corresponding amino acid is attached (by aminoacyl-tRNA synthetases). tRNAs cope with the degeneracy of the genetic code in two manners: having more than one tRNA (with a specific anti-codon) for a particular amino acid; and 'wobble' base-pairing, i.e. permitting non-standard base-pairing at the 3rd anti-codon position.
Source: Rfam